UACGUAGGGGGCAAGCGUUGUCCGGAAUCAUUGGGCGUAAAGAGCGUGUAGGCGGCCCGAUAAGUCCGCUGUGAAAGUCCAGGGCUCAACCCUGGGAUGCCGGUGGAUACUGUCGGGCUCGAGUCCGGAAGAGGAGUGUGGAAUUCCUGGUGUAGCGGUGAAAUGCGCAGAUAUCAGGAGGAACACCGGUGGCGAAGGCGGGUCUCUGGGCAGUAACUGACGCUGAGGAGCGAAAGCGUGGGGAGCGAACAGG
RNAcentral lists this ribosomal RNA (253 nucleotides) under uncultured bacterium. RNAcentral's name for it is "partial 16S ribosomal RNA". It matches the Rfam family "Bacterial small subunit ribosomal RNA", at positions 524 to 776 of the family's 1533-position model. The record is from RNAcentral.